This 223-nucleotide unclassified non-coding RNA is filed under the name Piskurozyma taiwanensis. RNAcentral describes it as "partial internal transcribed spacer 2". Lineage: Eukaryota; Fungi; Basidiomycota; Tremellomycetes; Filobasidiales; Piskurozymaceae. The record is from RNAcentral.
AAAUUAUCAACCAUGACUUGGGUUUAGGCCCUCGUUCUUGGCUUGGAUUUGGGUGCUUGCGGUCUUGUGCUGCUCACCUUAAAAGGAUUAGCUGGACAUGUCUUUUGACUUGGUUCUACUUGGCGUAAUAAGUAUUUCGCUGAGGACAUCCCUUCUGGGGUGGCCAAGACUCUGGCAAACGUCUGCUUUCUAACUCGACUGUCUUCGGACAUCACUUUUUAUG